GCGAACGCUGGCGGCAGGCUUAACACAUGCAAGUCGAACGGACGUAGCAAUACGUCAGUGGCAGACGGGUGAGUAACACGUGGGAACGUGCCCUUCGGUUCGGAACAACCCAGGGAAACUUGGGCUAAUACCGGAUACGCCCUUACGGGGAAAGAUUUAUCGCCGAAGGAUCGGCCCGCGUCUGAUUAGCUUGUUGGUGAGGUAACGGCUCACCAAGGCGACGAUCAGUAGCUGGUCUGAGAGGAUGAUCAGCCACACUGGGACUGAGACACGGCCCAGACUCCUACGGGAGGCAGCAGUGGGGAAUAUUGGACAAUGGGCGCAAGCCUGAUCCAGCCAUGCCGCGUGGGUGAUGAAGGCCUUAGGGUUGUAAAGCCCUUUCGGCGGGGAAGAUAAUGACGGUACCCGCAGAAGAAGCCCCGGCUAACUUCGU
Molecule: ribosomal RNA, 433 nt
Filed under: uncultured bacterium
Lineage: Bacteria
Description: bacterial SSU rRNA
Rfam family: Bacterial small subunit ribosomal RNA
Source: RNAcentral